RNAcentral lists this ribosomal RNA (440 nucleotides) under uncultured bacterium. Its description in RNAcentral is "partial 16S ribosomal RNA". It matches the Rfam family "Bacterial small subunit ribosomal RNA", at positions 338 to 795 of the family's 1533-position model. The record is from RNAcentral.
CCUACGGGGGGCAGCAGUGGGGAAUAUUGCACAAUGGGGGAAACCCUGAUGCAGCGACGCCGCGUGAGUGAGGAAGUAUUUCGGUAUGUAAAGCUCUAUCAGCAGGGAAGAAAAUGACGGUACCUGACUAAGAAGCCCCGGCUAACUACGUCCCAGCAGCCGCGGUAAUACGUAGGGGGCAAGCGUUAUCCGGAUUUACUGGGUGUAAAGGGAGCGUAGACGGAAUUGCAAGUCUGAUGUGAAAAUCCGGGGCUCAACCCCGGAACUGCAUUGGAAACUGUAUUUCUAGAGUGUCGGAGAGGCAAGUGGAAUUCCUGGUGUAGCGGUGAAAUGCGUAGAUAUCAGGAGGAACACCAGUGGCGAAGGCGGCUUGCUGGACGAUGACUGACGUUGAGGCUCGAAAGCGUGGGGAGCAAACAGGAUUAGAUACCCGGGUAGUC